CGUAGGGUGCAAGCGUUGCCCGGAUUUAUUGGGCGUAAAGGGCGCGUAGGCGGCCAGGAACGUCACGCGUGAAAUCUCCCGGCUCAACUGGGAGGGGUCGCGUGAUACGGCCUGGCUAGAGCAAGGUAGGGGGAAGUGGAAUUCCCGGUGUAGUGGUGGAAUGCGUAGAUAUCGGGAGGAACACCAGUGGCGAAGGCGGCUUCCUGGACCUUUGCUGACGCUAAGGCGCGAAAGCGUGGGUAGCGAUCCGGAUUAGAUACCCGGGUAGUCCACGCCGUAAACGAUGAGUACUAGGUGUCGGGGGUAUCGACCCCCUCGGCGCCGGAGCUAACGCAUUAAGUACUCCGCCUGGGGACUACGGCCGCAAGGCUA
This 372-nucleotide ribosomal RNA is filed under the name uncultured organism. RNAcentral describes it as "bacterial SSU rRNA". It matches the Rfam family "Bacterial small subunit ribosomal RNA", at positions 526 to 896 of the family's 1533-position model. The record is from RNAcentral.